GUAGUAUAACAGCUGCCCUCAGUACAACCUUGAGGGGUGACUUAGACAUUCAAAUAUCAUAUAACCGUAACUGUGUUUAUUUUGCUCGGCUCUCUGAGCCUGUAUCUUGUUGUACCCAAAGUAUUCGCGUAUCAAUGAAGGGGGAGAAUGGGGGAGGAGGAGAGGGAAUAGGGGUGAGGUCGGUUAUGUAUUGAGUGGUUGUG
This is a non-coding RNA of Pelobates cultripes (western spadefoot toad), 203 nucleotides long. The record is from the annotation of a GenBank genome assembly. Lineage: Eukaryota; Metazoa; Chordata; Amphibia; Anura; Pelobatidae.